CUACAAUGGUCAGGACAAUGGGUAUCGACACCGGAGAGGUCGGAGGGCGAAUCUCCUAAACCUGUCCUUAGUUCGGAUUGUGGGCUGCAACUCGCCCACAUGAAGCUGGAAUCCGUAGUAAUCGCGUUUCAAAAUAGCGCGGUGAAUAUGUCCCUGCUCCUU
Molecule: ribosomal RNA, 162 nt
Filed under: uncultured Methanolinea sp.
Lineage: Archaea; Methanobacteriati; Methanobacteriota; Methanomicrobia; Methanomicrobiales; Methanoregulaceae
Description: partial 16S ribosomal RNA
Rfam family: Archaeal small subunit ribosomal RNA
Source: RNAcentral